RNAcentral lists this non-coding RNA (100 nucleotides) under Aurantiochytrium limacinum. Lineage: Eukaryota; Bigyra; Thraustochytrida; Thraustochytriidae. The record is from RNAcentral.
AAUCAGAGAAAGAACCCCUCAAACCUCAAGAAAGAGAGAGAAAGUGGGUUUCUUUGUUUGGUUUUUCACUUCUUCUUCUUCUUCUUCUUCUUCUUCUUCU